UUUGCACACUAUUAAAGCCGGGCGCUAAUGUUGGUGUCCCUGUGUCGGAAGUGUGCUAGAGUAAGCAGGCCGGGUUUUCGCUAACACCAUGAGGACUUAUGUCCCAUGACUGGGGUUUGAUAGUGACCAGAGCCACAAUC
Small nucleolar RNA from Myripristis murdjan (pinecone soldierfish), 140 nucleotides. The record is from Ensembl. Lineage: Eukaryota; Metazoa; Chordata; Actinopteri; Holocentriformes; Holocentridae.